Rhineura floridana is the source of this 3748-nucleotide long non-coding RNA. RefSeq lists it as uncharacterized. The record is from RefSeq and is a predicted model, not a curated record. The transcript is spliced from 4 exons. NCBI's taxonomy places the organism in Eukaryota, Metazoa, Chordata, Lepidosauria, Squamata, Rhineuridae.
AAAGACGAUAAAAGGAAAUCCAAACUAUUAUCAUUGUAACAACCUAAUAACACUCAAACUCCCAUUUCAGUACUAGGGAAAUGAGUUGAAAUCCAAUCAUGUUGUAGCCGAAGAUGUAGUCCCGUGUCUGGUCCUGCUAGUCCAGUCUGAAGAUUACCUUGAAAGACAUUUUCCUCUUCCGGCUCCAAAAGCUCAGUGAAAUCCUCAAGGAGAAAACUUCAGGUGAAGAGUCAAAGCCAGUUUUUCAACUUUUUGGUAAUCUUGCCCUUCCAUGCUGAAAAGGUGUCCCCGCCUUGCUGGAUCAGAUUAUAAUCCACAUACAUCUUUCCCAUACUGCGACUCUUCAGCUGACUCCCUCAGAGUAACCAGCUGAUUUAUUUAAUAAAACCAAUGCUUUAGCAUUCCUGAAAAUACUGCUUCCAAUAGAACGCUCCCAUGCUGUGAUUGGUGAAGUGCUUGAUCUCAGAAGGAGCUCCGAGUGCAUCAUCCAUUUCACUUAUGUGCUCCUGAACAAAUGCGCUCAUUUCAUUAUAUACCAAAUUUAUUCCACUAACGUCACCGAAUGCCUGAAAAAUAUAGUGUGCAGACUCAUUGGUUGUGACACAGUCCAGUGCAAUAUCAAGUUAAAAGAAGCAAAAGUACGUAGAGUUUGAACAUGAUUUAUUUGUUUGUUUAAAAUACAGAUUAGCAGCUCCUCUCUGUGUGAAAUUUGGUACUCUCAUGCCAAUAACCCAGAUUCAUGGCAAUGUACAAUUUGAGUUUCAUGGUUGAAUUCCGCUCCUGUGUUUUGUAACAAUUUUUUUAACAGCCCUGCCAAAACACUACAUAGGGAGUGUGAUUACAGAGAGCUUCACUAACAACAUGUACAGUGGCAAAUGAAGACUUAACUACAUAUGAAAGAUGCAUUCACCUAGGAUUUUGGUUCAGCUCAAAAAAUAAAUAUAGUAGAAUGGGAGUGUUUCUUGUGAACAUCUAAGGAAAAGCACAUAAAAUAGAUUCUUAAUGGGGGGAAACUAUUUGUUUUGGUGUGACAUUAAGGGUAGAAAAAUAUUGUAGAUAAAUUAUUAAAAUCUAGAAUGGGACUGUCAUUAUCCAUUGUCAUGUUACAUCUUGAUGAUAAGCUACAGGCUUGAAAAGGGACUGAUGUGGCCUCUCAAGACAAAUACAGUUGGCGUCCUCAUUAUCUAUAUAAAGACGAAAGCAGAAUUGGAAUGAUCUCUCAUGGAUGGCCAAUCAAGUAUAAGGCAUGGAGAUUAGACAUACAAAACAACAAGCAAUUAAGGCGAACCCACUACCUUAAUGGAACAAAUGAACAAACUGUAUUGGAGAUGUAUGGGGGUUGUCUGAAACCCACAAUGUUCAUUCAAAGCACCUAGGAAUAUGAACAUGUGGACAGACAGAGCAUAAUUUGUCUCCUGGUGCCCUGCUAGGAAUGGGCAAACCUGUCAAUUUCAGUUUCUCUCUGUUUUUGUUCCCCAGUCCUAAGUUCAAUUCUUCAUAUUUCCAUGUUGGUUUAUAAUUUAUUUAGUUUUUUUAAAAGUCCUCAUGAAAAUACAUCAGCGUUUUAGUGUGAAUUUUUCCUAAUAUACACAUUUUUGUUUGCAAAUUUUACUCAUAUACAUACGUUUGCAAAGCAUGUUUUCCCUAUUUAUAUUUUCCCUAAUAUAAUGCAUUUUUGUAUGUUAUUUUCAUGCACACUUUUACUUAGUACUUUUGUGCUUGUCUGGAGAACUGCCUUGCAAAAUUCAGAGAAGUGCGCAUUUUGAAGAAUGGCUAUGUUUCAGUUCUCAUAUUGUUUCAGAAAGUGUGAAUUAGACAGACUCACCUUUAAACUUGAGCUGAAUCAACUUUCUUCCCCAUUCCUAUGUCCUGCUCCCUACUUGGACAUGUAUUGCACAAUUCCAACUGAUAAGCUGGUUCAGAGCUUUGGAUGAACUCGUGCCCAGCUGGCAUGAUUUCACUUCUCCCUGACCACACAUUUAUUUUCCUGAUUAUAUCACAUGUACCGGGCCAAUAUGUUCUUAGUACAUUCCUUUGUCUAUAGUUUACACUUCUUUUCUUUUGUGUGUGUGAUGGGGUUGCCUUUGUUUAUGAUUUUGUAUAUGGACACGAAUACUGAAAGUGUAGGACAUAAUCCAGUUAAAUUUAAGCACUUUUAAGCCCCAUCCAUUUCAAUGAGAGUAAGUUGUAGCUUGUGCUUAACUCUGUUGAAAUCAAUGGGUGCCAAGAAGGCUUAAAUUCAUACUGAGACUGAUCUUCAUGGUCCCACUUAAUUAAAUGUUACUAAUUAUAAUAAUCACAUCACAUUUUAUAAGCUAUAACAAAUUUGCAUACAAUGAACUGUAACAUGUGUAGAUAUAUAUAUAGUGCUAAGAUAUUGGACAUAGUCUGAAUAUUGAAUUAAUUAAAGCCAGUCAUUGUUUCUGAAAGUGACUCAAUGGCAGUAACCUUUUAAUUAAUCAACUUCGCCCAAAAGUUCACUUCACAGUGUAAUUAUAAAUGUGAGCAAAAUUAUAAUUGAUGCAUUUUGUCAAUCUAUGUAGCUGCAAGGUACUUUCUGAAAAGGUUAAAUUUUUGUUUAGGUAAACUGAACUAAUAUUGCUUCAUUUUAUUUAUUUUUUAAAAAAAAUUGAAUCAGCAAUAAGAUGUGCUAAGUAAAUAUUUGAAACAUGUAAACAUUAAAAAUGUGGAUUAAAGAUAUAUGUUGGGGUAUACUUGGAAUGAACUACAAAGUCUAAGCAAAGUUCUCUCCUGCUCCGUAAAAGCCCAUGUGCAAUGUUACUAUGUUUGUUUUACAAGAUGUAAAGGUAUAUGAACAUAUAUAUAUAUAUAAAUAUUUUAUUCUUUGGUCCAUAUUAAUGGAUCAAGGCAUAGGAGCCUAGCGGUGGUGAACUCUGAGAUAGAGCCCUCGUGUUGACUCCAUACUUCAGGAUAUCCAGAACUGGUUUCCUGACCUCAGGAAGACACAUAGUGACUAGUUAGUGAGUAAUAAGGAAGGUUCCAAAUUGAAGAUUUGGAAUAGUCGCUCUAAUGGAACAAAGACCCACAGCCCAGUAUAGAAUUCAGGUCAAUAAAACACACACAAGGUAAGUAAAUUCAUUCCAGAAACAGGAAUUUAUACUCAUGCAUGACAUUGGAGACAGCAGUACAAUCUUUAACUUCACCUAGGUAAGACAAAUAUUCCAGUCCUUUCAUGUUGCUAGAUCACUCACUUGCACCCCCUCCAACUAUUUAUUUUUAUUUUUAUUAUUGUUGUUGUUAUAUCUCCCAAUAGGAGCCUGGUUUACAUGCAAUCCUAGUUUACAUGCAAUCCUAUGCAGUCCAAAAACACAUUUAAGGUUAGGCUUUGUAUGGGUCAAAUUGGCACACUCAUUGCUCCAUCGACUUCCUGGUGCUCCAUAUCACUCCUUAGGAACAUCAACUCACUGCUCAGGAUAUAGGACCAAGGAAGGGUGAGAACUUUUGUGUCUGGUUGCUGGUUCUAAGGGAGAGCUGAACUCUCACUAGGCACAGAAAUCUUAUUCUUGACUUUCCUGAGAUUAUCGUCUCCAGGAAAGGUAUAUCCCUUCACUACUUCCUUUUCCUUCUUUCUUUCUGGUAUGAGUCUAUAUACUUGCAAUCUUGUGUGUGAAUAGGUGCAAGGUCUCUCUAUACUCUUAUAGCUCUUAUAGCUGUAUGAUUAUUUUAGCUAGAUGCUACCCAUGUUUUAACUGUAAAUUGAAAACUAUAUGUUUCCGUUUUUCAAUAA